RNAcentral lists this long non-coding RNA (1906 nucleotides) under Heterocephalus glaber (naked mole-rat). RNAcentral describes it as "lncRNA (ENSHGLG00100049989.1)". The record is from RNAcentral. Lineage: Eukaryota; Metazoa; Chordata; Mammalia; Rodentia; Bathyergidae.
GAAAAGCUCUAGCACUCAAAGCCAUCCAAGAGGGGAGCAGGCCACCACAGCAAGAGAGCGCGCUGUCCCUAAAGAGACUUUGCAGACUUCUGGGAGGGGACCCACCCCAGUCUUUCCAGCUGAGGAACUCGCACCCCGAUAUCAGCAGAACUCUCCCAGCCUAGGCAGGGGGCACCUCCUGACUUCCAUCUUUACCAUUCUCAGGGCCACCUGCAGGUCCCCCCUUGGAAAAGGGACAAGAAAUACAGGACGCCAGAAAGUGCCUUGCAAGCCCGCCGCUAGAGGGCGCCAGUUCCCUUCAGUAAAGGUUUGAGGUCCGCGCAGCUGGUGGGAACCCCUAGGACAGACCUCUCAGAUCUGUCCCCAUCUGUCCCUCUGCCUUCCUGCUCUGGCCCCCGGCUCUUUGGGGUGUUUUUCUUCAUUUCCUUGAGUACUGUAUCAUUCACUCAUUCCCAGGGUUUACAUUCACUGCUUUAAACAGUAGCUUUAUGAAAGGACAGAAAAUGGGAGACACUGGUUUGGCUUUUUUUUAAGCAGGCCAUUUGGCAGCAAGGGAAAUCUAGACAUUACUGUACUAAGCCAAUGUUUUCGCCUUUUUCCACUAACGUCUUUCUGGUAGAGUUGGGAUAAUAAUUUUCAAAAGAAGAAGACAUAAAUAGAGAAGAUAAAAGAUGACCCAAAGUUAAACCAGGAUGAAUAAUCUGUAUCAGCCCAGUAGGUGGAGACCAACAUCUGGUCUUUGCCAUUUUUAAGAUGGUUUAGAUGGGGAAAUAGAUGCUUUACUGGAAACUUUGGAUGACAUGAAAUUGGAGAGCCAAUGGCUUAGCUAACAGGUCCUGGAUCUAAACAGAUCAAGACUAGAUUAAAACUCAGAUCUUAACAGCUCACCAGGAAGCAAUAUAAAGAUCUACCUUUGGAUUUUUAAAAAAGGUUAGGAGAUGUAUUUCAGCUGACAAAGCUCAAGAAAGUGGGAUGGAGCCACUCAAAAAUAAAACUCACAAGAUGUUUAGGUGACAUGAGGAGAACACACAGGCACCAUGUUUCAUCUAGGACUGUAGAGCUGCACUUUAGGAGACUGUUGAUGCUGUGUAAUGUCCAGGUGGGGACGUCCAGGGUGGAAAGGGCCUCGUGAGGGUGUGGGACCUGGAGAAGAACUCAGCACAAUGAGAGCUGUCCUAGGCCUGGGAGUGAGAAGCUACAGGGAGCCAGAUGUCUGCUCUUACAGAAGAACCAAGCUUCAGCGUCAGAGGGCUUGUGGCAGUGGUGACUGGGCCAUCCUUGGAAGUGUCACCAAGCCAGAUGGCCGGCCAUGGGUCAGGAGAGGGUCCCAGACAUUGGCUGUGAAUCUUGAUGUUCAAGGUCAUUUCCAAGUCUGGGCUCUGGUGCUUAUGUUAGUAGAAUGGCUUUAUGUGAGCUUUAAGUGUGCGAACCACAUAUGUCCUGUCCUAUUCCUAUCUUUUGCCACCAUGUUGACCAUUUCAGACCCAUCAGUGCCUCCAUCCCCUAAGCUGAGUGUGGCCUCCUAUCUCUGAGAACCACUGGUACCUUGGCCAGAGCUGCCCUGUCUGGUCCUGUGUCACAGGGGACAUAGAUAGGAUGUGGCCAGGGAGGCAGCACGUCCAUGGGCCAGGAGCCCUUUACCUCCUGUCAGUCUCUCUCAGCUCUUUACUUUCCUCUACCUCUGCUGGAACAAAGUGAUUCUGUCAGCUCUGAACCAGCCCUGAUUCUUGGUUCUACCUAGAUUCCCCUUGUCCUGUGGAACAGUGACCACUAGACAAUGGCAACUUCUGGCCAUCGUUCUCAGCAUCUCCCAGACCGUGAGCCCCUGCUCGGUGCAAGGAAACCCCUUCUGGUACCUAAACAAACCCCCAGCUGCCUUGCCUCCUGCUCCACCAUUCAGUUUGAC